GAUUAUAAAACUACAUUAGCGAUAAAUAAUGAUCUAUUUAUCUCCUUAACAGCAACAACAAUGACAAAAUGAAUAGCUUAAUUUGUUUCCUUAUCAUUUAACUGUGUAUUUUAGAUGUUUUACUGACUUCAGAUCAAAGAUUCAGAUCAAUUUUAGGACAAUGACGUAAUAUUUGUCGACCAGCAACAUAAUCAAAACAAAGAGAUAAGGAUAUGGAUCAUGGGUGAUCAAUAAUCAGAAUCGGGGAUCAGCACACACACCAGCAGCUCAAAACCUGAGAGAAGUUCUGACACAUCUAAACACCUGAUCGGUACCUGCCCGCGUGCAUCAAUGAGCGGCCGUGAAGGCACCUGAGCACCAGUCCGUCAGGAGGCAACACGUGUCUGCACAGGAGCACACCGCAUCCUUUACCGCACGGGUACAGGUGCUGUGCAAGAGCCCGUGAGCCAGGACGUUGACCACGUCCUGGUUAGACGCGGAUGACGUAGGAGUCGGAGUGGGUGACGUAGCGGAUCCAGCGCUGAGACGGACCCGGCUGCACCGGGGACAGGCGGAGGAACCGGAUCUGAAGACCCGUCACCGUGAGCAGACAGCUGUGUCCCUCCGGCGAAUCGAGGGAUUUUCCAUUCGAUGGCUCGACUCUGCAGCUUCAGCUCAGCACUCUGGUCGGGGCUGCUGAGCUCCUGAGACACACUGAACACACACACACGCACACACACAC
Molecule: long non-coding RNA, 721 nt
Organism: Pungitius pungitius (ninespine stickleback)
Lineage: Eukaryota; Metazoa; Chordata; Actinopteri; Perciformes; Gasterosteidae
Exons: 3
Source: RefSeq, a predicted model, not a curated record